UAAUACGUAGGUGGCAAGCGUUGUCCGGAUUUACUGGGCGUAAAGCGUAUGCAGGCGGAUGGUUAAGUAGGAAGUGAAAGGUUGGAGCUCAACUCUAACACUGCUCCCUAUACUGGCCGUCUUGAGUGCCGGAGAGGACUAGGGAACUUCACGUGUAGCGGUGAAAUGCGUUGAGAUGUGAAGGAACACCAAUGGCGAAAGCACUGGUCUGGACGGAGACUGACGCUGAGAUACGAAAGCCAAGGGAGCGAACAGGAUUAGAUACCCUGGUAGUCUUGGCCAUAAACGAUGUUCACUAGGUGUCGGGGCUUACGCCUCGGUGCCGCAGCUAACGCAUUAAGUGAACCGCCUGGGGACUACGGCCGCAAGGUUG
RNAcentral lists this ribosomal RNA (373 nucleotides) under uncultured bacterium. RNAcentral's name for it is "bacterial SSU rRNA". It matches the Rfam family "Bacterial small subunit ribosomal RNA", at positions 521 to 896 of the family's 1533-position model. The record is from RNAcentral.